GGGCGUAAGAGCUCUAGGCGGCUUGUCACGUCGGGUGUGAAAGCCCGGGGCUUAACCCCGGGUCUGCAUCCGAUACGGGCAGGCUAGAGUGUGGUAGGGGAGAUCGGAAUUCCUGGUGUAGCGGUGAAAUGCGCAGAUAUCAGGAGGAACACCGGUGGCGAAGGCGGAUCUCUGGGCCAUUACUGACGCUGAGGAGCGAAAGCGUGGGGAGCGAACAGGAUUAGAUACCCUGGUAGUCCACGCCGUAAACGUUGGGAACUAGGUGUUGGCGACAUUCCACGUCGUCGGUGCCGCAGCUAACGCAUUAAGUUCCCCGCCUGGGGAGUACGGCCGCAAGGCUAAAACUCAAAGGAAUUGACGGGGGCCCGCACAAGCAGCGGAGCAUGUGGCUUAAUUCGACGCAACGCGAAGAACCUUACCAAGGCUUGACAUAUACCGGAAAGCGCCAGAGAUGGUGCCCCCCUUGUGGUCGGUAUACAGGUGGUGCAUGGCUGUCGUCAGCUCGUGUCG
Molecule: ribosomal RNA, 510 nt
Filed under: Streptomyces globisporus
Lineage: Bacteria; Bacillati; Actinomycetota; Actinomycetes; Kitasatosporales; Streptomycetaceae
Description: bacterial SSU rRNA
Rfam family: Bacterial small subunit ribosomal RNA
Source: RNAcentral